Molecule: ribosomal RNA, 468 nt
Filed under: uncultured bacterium
Lineage: Bacteria
Description: partial 16S ribosomal RNA
Rfam family: Bacterial small subunit ribosomal RNA
Source: RNAcentral
GACGAACGCUGGCGGCGUGCUUAACACAUGCAAGUCGAACGGAAAGGCCCUGCUUUUGUGGGGUGCUCGAGUGGCGAACGGGUGAGUAACACGUGAGUAACCUGCCCUUGACUUUGGGAUAACUUCAGGAAACUGGGGCUAAUACCGGAUAGGAGCUCCUGCUGCAUGGUGGGGGUCGGAAAGUUUCGGCGGUUGGGGAUGGACGCGCGGCUUAUCAGCUUGUUGGUGGGGUAGUGGCUUACCAAGGCUUUGACGGGUAGCGGGCCUGAGAGGGUGACCGGCCACAUUGGGACUGAGAUACGGCCCAGACUACUACGGGAGGAAGCAGUGGGGAAUAUUGCACAAUGGGCGGAAGCCUGAUGCCGAAACGCCGCGUGCUGGAUGACGGCCUUCGGGUUGUAAACCGCUUUCGCAUGUGACGAAGCGUGAGUGACGGUAAUGGGUAAAGAAGCACCGGCUAACUACGUG